This 892-nucleotide long non-coding RNA is filed under the name Homo sapiens (human). RNAcentral's name for it is "non-protein coding lnc-GADD45G-3:3". Lineage: Eukaryota; Metazoa; Chordata; Mammalia; Primates; Hominidae. The record is from RNAcentral.
CUUGACUCUGCAGUCCCCAGGGCAGUCUGAGUCCCCAGUGCCUGGCGUGGGUGAGCUCAGGGCUGCUCCGUAUGGGGGCAUCCAGGCCUGGCUGCUGAUGCCCUGUGGCUGAGGACACCUCCAUCUGCAUGAGCCAGUUUGGAAGUCCAGCUUGCCCCCCAGGCAGUGGAGGCCAGUAAGGGCUUCUCCCCAGAUUGACCACUCAGAUCAAAUUGAUCCAGGUGUUGAGACAGAAUUGGCCCCAUUUUCUGCUAAUUUCCAUUCUCUGAUUGUGCUGCCUGCUACAGGAGUCAUUUUGGAUUUGGGCUGACCUGGUAGACUUCUGAAAGACAGUGCUCUGGGUUCAAGUUGUCCUCAGGGCUGGAUGAUCCAUAGCAAAUAUCCCCUGAUGGAUAAGCAUUGUGCUGAGAGACUUGCCUCCAUCAGCUGUGUAAACCUCAGGAUGACCUGCACACAGGUAUACUAAGGCACACAGAGACCAGCUCGUAGUCAGUGACAAGUAACUUGCCAAGAGCUGUGGUUUAAAAGCAUGUCUGCAAAUUCUUGGACACUCUUGUCAUCCAGAAAUAGAGUCUAACCCUCCUCCCUUGAAUACGGGCUGGCUUCAGUGGUGGAAAUGACAAUGUGUGAGUUUGAGGUUUGAUUAGAAAAGAUGACACAGCCUCUGCCUGACUCUCAAGGCCCUUGUUCUUGGACAUUAGCUGCCAUGCUGGGAGGAAGCCCAGCAGCCACACAGAGAGGCCACGACAGCCGAGGUCCCAGCCCUGCCCAACACGUCAAUGAGUGAUCCUGCAGAGCCUCCCAUCUCCUAGCCACCGCAGCUGAUGCUCUGAGAGCGGAGGCAAGCUGUCCUUGCUGGGCGCUGCUUAAACUGCAGAUGUAUGAACAAAAU